GUGCUUAACACAUGCAAGUCGAACGGAAAGGCCCUGCUUUUGUGGGGUGCUCGAGUGGCGAACGGGUGAGUAACACGUGAGUAACCUGCCCUUGACUUUGGGAUAACUUCAGGAAACUGGGGCUAAUACCGGAUAGGAGCUCCUGCUGCAUGGUGGGGGUUGGAAAGUUUCGGCGGUUGGGGAUGGACUCGCGGCUUAUCAGCUUGUUGGUGGGGUAGUGGCUUACCAAGGCUUUGACGGGUAGCCGGCCUGAGAGGGUGACCGGCCACAUUGGGACUGAGAUACGGCCCAGACUCCUACGGGAGGCAGCAGUGGGGAAUAUUGCACAAUGGGCGGAAGCCUGAUGCAGCAACGCCGCGUGCGGGAUGACGGCCUUCGGGUUGUAAACCGCUUUCGCCUGUGACGAAGCGUGAGUGACGGUAAUGGGUAAAGAAGCACCGGCUAACUACGUGCCAGCAGCCGCGGUGAUACGUAGGGUGCGAGCGUUGUCCGGAUUUAUUGGGCGUAAAGGGCUCGUAGGUGGUUGAUCGCGUCGGAAGUGUAAUCUUGGGGCUUAACCCUGAGCGUGCUUUCGAUACGGGUUGACUUGAGGAAGGUAGGGGAGAAUGGAAUUCCUGGUGGAGCGGUGGAAUGCGCAGAUAUCAGGAGGAACACCAGUGGCGAAGGCGGUUCUCUGGGCCUUUCCUGACGCUGAGGAGCGAAAGCGUGGGGAGCGAACAGGCUUAGAUACCCUGGUAGUCCACGCUGUAAACGGUGGGUACUAGGUGUGGGGUCCAUUCCACGGGUUCCGUGCCGUAGCUAACGCUUUAAGUACCCCGCCUGGGGAGUACGGCCGCAAGGCUAAAACUCAAAGGAAUUGACGGGGCCCCGCACAAGCGGCGGAGCAUGCGGAUUAAUUCGAUGCAACGCGUAGAACCUUACCUGGGUUUGACAUGGAUCGGGAGUGCUCAGAGAUGGGUGUGCCUCUUUUGGGGUCGGUUCACAGGUGGUGCAUGGCUGUCGUCAGCUCGUGUCGUGAGAUGUUGGGUUAAGUCCCGCAACGAGCGCAACCCUUGUUCACUGUUGCCAGCACGUUAUGGUGGGGACUCAGUGGAGACCGCCGGGGUCAACUCGGAGGAAGGUGGGGAUGACGUCAAGUCAUCAUGCCCCUUAUGUCCAGGGCUUCACGCAUGCUACAAUGGCUGGUACAGAGAGUGGCGAGCCUGUGAGGGUGAGCGAAUCUCGGAAAGCCGGUCUCAGUUCGGAUUGGGGUCUGCAACUCGACCUCAUGAAGUCGGAGUCGCUAGUAAUCGCAGAUCAGCAACGCUGCGGUGAAUACGUUCCCGGGGCUUGUACACACCGCCCGUCAAGUCAUGAAAGUUGGUAACACCCGAAGCCGGUGGCCUAACCGUUGUGGGGGAGCCGUCGAAGGUGGGACUGGUGAUUAGGACUAAGUAGUAA
RNAcentral lists this ribosomal RNA (1440 nucleotides) under uncultured organism. Its description in RNAcentral is "16S ribosomal RNA". It matches the Rfam family "Bacterial small subunit ribosomal RNA". The record is from RNAcentral.